AUCGCCUCGAGAAGCCCGGGAGGAGGCGGGGCGCGCGGCGGAGGAACACGCAGGCGCCGCCCUCCUCCCCCCCUUCCCCCGGGGGCGAGGGGGCGGUGAGGGGGGAAGGGAGGCGGGGGGCCGGGCGCCCCCCUGCCGCCGGCCGGACCCCCCGCGGUACUGCGGAGAGCGGGGAGGGGCGGGAGCGGGCUCGGCGACGACGGGUUAGCAAAGGCUCUUUGUUGCUUUCCCACCCCGCCUCCCCAGCCCCCUGGGAUCGGGGCUGCUUCCCCCACCCCGCCCGCAGCUGACUAGGGUUCCUCCCCCGGGGUUGUCCUUGGCCGUCGUUCCCCCCCCCCACCCCGGUCGCCUACCGCUCCCCUGAGACUGGGGGGAGCUCCCAGGCCUCCCCCGCGCCGGAGUGCGGAGACUGGGGCGCCGGGACCUCCCGGCGCGGGACCUGCGGCCACCGGCUUGGGAAGCCAGGAGGCGGCAACCGGGAUGCGUGACUGGGCACAGGGCCGGGCCGCGGGACUCCGGAUCUGCCCGUCCGGGUGCCCUCGUGCGGGGCUUGUCUUCAGCUCGUCCUGUUGCUAUCUCAGGAUCGGGACCUGCCAGUCGAUGGGCAUCCCGGCCAGCCCCACGGCCCGCCCCCGCCGCGCGCCGCUCCCGGCGAUUCCUCCGGGGUGGGGGGAGGGGUGGCGUAUAAAUGUAAAAUAUGGUCAUCAUUGUUCGCUUCGCUCCUUUUCUUCCCGAGGAAUCCCAGUGUGCUGUACCGAUUUAACGAGCUGAUAUGCACACACCAAGUAUAGGGAUGACUUCAUCCCCGAAAGAACGCAGGCAACUCGCGGGGAAACGCAGUCGCCGGGAGACGCGCGCGGCAUAGUGUGCAGCAGCGGGAAUGGAAGAAGAGAAACGCAGCCGCCUCAAACCAACAGCCUUAUAUACUCAGUGACCUGGACCUAUGGCACAGGACCAGGGUGGCCUCAAGUAGUCAAAAGAGCCUGCGAGCCACAACUACUGAAGCCCGCACGCCCUAGAGCCCACGCUCCGCAACAGGAGAAGCCAACGCGAUGAGAAGCCCGAGCACCGCAACCAAGAGUGGGCCCCCGCUCGCCACAACUAGAGAAAGCCCACG
This is a long non-coding RNA of Balaenoptera ricei (Rice's whale), 1117 nucleotides long. RefSeq lists it as uncharacterized. The record is from RefSeq and is a predicted model, not a curated record. Lineage: Eukaryota; Metazoa; Chordata; Mammalia; Artiodactyla; Balaenopteridae. The transcript has 3 exons.